AAAUUGAAGAGUUUGAUCAUGGCUCAGAUUGAACGCUGGCGGCAGGCCUAACACAUGCAAGUCGAACGGUAACAGGAAGAAGCUUGCUUCUUUGCUGACGAGUGGCGGACGGGUGAGUAAUGUCUGGGAAACUGCCUGAUGGAGGGGGAUAACUACUGGAAACGGUAGCUAAUACCGCAUAACGUCGCAAGACCAAAGAGGGGGACCUUCGGGCCUCUUGCCAUCGGAUGUGCCCAGAUGG
RNAcentral lists this ribosomal RNA (241 nucleotides) under Escherichia coli. RNAcentral's name for it is "partial 16S ribosomal RNA". It matches the Rfam family "Bacterial small subunit ribosomal RNA", at positions 1 to 238 of the family's 1533-position model. The record is from RNAcentral. Lineage: Bacteria; Pseudomonadati; Pseudomonadota; Gammaproteobacteria; Enterobacterales; Enterobacteriaceae.